Mycena rebaudengoi is the source of this 96-nucleotide non-coding RNA. The record is from the annotation of a GenBank genome assembly. Lineage: Eukaryota; Fungi; Basidiomycota; Agaricomycetes; Agaricales; Mycenaceae.
GGCCUAAUAGCGAAAUCUGCAUCGCAUCCGCUCCCCAUUCGUAUGUGAUGCUAUUGUAUUAUGUGGAAGUCCCUCGUUCGACCCGAGGUUAGGUCA